GACGAACGCUGGCGGCGUGCUUAACACAUGCAAGUCGAACGGAAAGGCCCUGCUUUUGUGGGGUGCUCGAGUGGCGAACGGGUGAGUAACACAUGAGUAACCUGCCCUUGACUUUGGGAUAACUUCAGGAAACUGGGGCUAAUACCGGAUAGGAGCUCCUGCUGCAUGGUGGGGGUUGGAAAGUUUCGGCGGUUGGGGAUGGACUCGCGGCUUAUCAGCUUGUUGGUGGGGUAGUGGCUUACCAAGGCUUUGACGGGUAGCCGGCCUGAGAGGGUGACCGGCCACAUUGGGACUGAGAUACGGCCCAGACUCCUACGGGAGGCAGCAGUGGGGAAUAUUGCACAAUGGGCGGAAGCCUGAUGCAGCAACGCCGCAUGUGGGAUGACGGCCUUCGGGUUGUAAACCGCUUUCGCCUGUGACGAAGCGUGAGUGACGGUAAUGGGUAAAGAAGCACCGGCUAACUACGUG
Molecule: ribosomal RNA, 468 nt
Filed under: uncultured bacterium
Lineage: Bacteria
Description: partial 16S ribosomal RNA
Rfam family: Bacterial small subunit ribosomal RNA
Source: RNAcentral